This 332-nucleotide long non-coding RNA is filed under the name Carica papaya (papaya). RNAcentral's name for it is "long non-coding RNA (CPAP_LNC000067)". Lineage: Eukaryota; Viridiplantae; Streptophyta; Magnoliopsida; Brassicales; Caricaceae. The record is from RNAcentral.
AAUUUACCUCGAUCAACGGUCAGAAAACUCUCCAGUGCGGUGGCGGGUGGCGGCGGCCGGCUCCUCCGGCGUCUGGUUCGUCUUCUCCGGCGAGGGCUGGCGGCUAGGGUUUUUGUGGUCAGGUGUGGGGGGUUUAUUUAUACCCUUUGCCUUUUAAUCACAGCCGUCCAUCUUGAUUUAAUCUGGACCGUUCGAUCGCGAUUUAAUUUGGAUUAAAUCUGGGCCGUCCAUUGCGAUUAAAUCUGGACCGUCCGUGCGCGUGCAUCUGGGCCGUCCGUGCGCACGCUUGAUCCAGGCCGUCCGUGCGCGCGGGAACGCAUCUGGGCCGUUCG